AUUGAACGCUGGCGGGAUGCUUUACACAUGCAAGUCGAACGGCAGCACGGGGCAACCUGGUGGCGAGUGGCGAACGGGUGAGUAAUACAUCGGAACGUGCCCAAUCGUGGGGGGAUAACGUAGCGAAAGUUACGCUAAUACCGCAUACGAUCUACGGAUGAAAGCGGGGGAUCGCAAGACCUCGCGCGAAUGGAGCGGCCGAUGUCAGAUUAGGUAGUUGGUGGGGUAAAGGCUCACCAAGCCAACGAUCUGUAGCUGGUCUGAGAGGACGACCAGCCACACUGGAACUGAGACACGGUCCAGACUCCUACGGGAGGCAGCAGUGGGGAAUUUUGGACAAUGGGCGCAAGCCUGAUCCAGCCAUUCCGCGUGCAGGAUGAAGGCCGUCGGGUUGUAAACUGCUUUUGUACGGAACGAACGGCUCUCUCUAAUACAGGGGGCUAAUGACGGUACCGUAAGAAUAAGCACCGGCUAACUACGUG
RNAcentral lists this ribosomal RNA (482 nucleotides) under uncultured bacterium. RNAcentral describes it as "bacterial SSU rRNA". It matches the Rfam family "Bacterial small subunit ribosomal RNA", at positions 30 to 507 of the family's 1533-position model. The record is from RNAcentral.